RNAcentral lists this ribosomal RNA (407 nucleotides) under Ferribacterium sp. RNAcentral's name for it is "partial 16S ribosomal RNA". It matches the Rfam family "Bacterial small subunit ribosomal RNA", at positions 355 to 774 of the family's 1533-position model. Lineage: Bacteria; Pseudomonadati; Pseudomonadota; Betaproteobacteria; Rhodocyclales; Azonexaceae. The record is from RNAcentral. RNAcentral also lists the same sequence under 3 other names.
UGGGGAAUAUUGCACAAUGGGCGGAAGCCUGAUGCAGCGACGCCGCGUGAGGGAUGAAGGCCUUCGGGUUGUAAACCUCUUUCAGCAGGGACGAAGCGUGAGUGACGGUACCUGCAGAAGAAGCACCGGCUAACUACGUGCCAGCAGCCGCGGUAAUACGUAGGGUGCGAGCGUUGUCCGGAAUUACUGGGCGUAAAGAGUUCGUAGGCGGUUUGUCGCGUCGUUUGUGAAAACCCGGGGCUCAACUUCGGGCUUGCAGGCGAUACGGGCAGACUUGAGUGUUUCAGGGGAGACUGGAAUUCCUGGUGUAGCGGUGAAAUGCGCAGAUAUCAGGAGGAACACCGGUGGCGAAGGCGGGUCUCUGGGAAACAACUGACGCUGAGGAACGAAAGCGUGGGUAGCAAACA